Molecule: ribosomal RNA, 253 nt
Filed under: uncultured bacterium
Lineage: Bacteria
Description: partial 16S ribosomal RNA
Rfam family: Bacterial small subunit ribosomal RNA
Source: RNAcentral
UACGAAGGGGGCUAGCGUUGCUCGGAAUCACUGGGCGUAAAGGGCGCGUAGGUGGCGCUCCAAGUCUGUGGUGAAAGCUCGAUGCUUAACAUCGAGUCGGCCACGGAGACUGGAGGGCUCGAGCACUGUAGGGGCAGAUGGAAUUCCGGGUGUAGCGGUGGAAUGCGUAGAGAUCCGGAGGAACCCCAGAGGCGAAGGCGGCGCCCUGGCUCGCAACUGACGCUCAGACACGACAGCAUGGGGAGCGAACGGG